RNAcentral lists this ribosomal RNA (301 nucleotides) under uncultured bacterium. RNAcentral's name for it is "partial 16S ribosomal RNA". It matches the Rfam family "Bacterial small subunit ribosomal RNA", at positions 509 to 807 of the family's 1533-position model. The record is from RNAcentral.
CAGCCGCCGCGGGAAUACGUAGGGUGCAAGCGUUAAUCGGAAUUACUGGGCGUAAAGCGUGCGCGGGCGGUUAUAUAAGUCAGAUGUGAAAUCCCCGGGCUCAACCUGGGAACUGCAUUUGAGACUGUAUGGCUAGAGUGUGUCAGAGGGGGGUAGAAUUCCACGUGUAGCAGUGAAAUGCGUAGAUAUAGGAAGGAACACCAGUGGCGAAGGCGACCACCUGGACUGAUACUGACACUGAGGUGCGAAAGCGUGGGGAGCAAACAGGAUUAGAUACCCCAGUAGUCCCUGUCUCUUAUAC